CCCUUAGAUGUCCGGGGCCGCACGCGCGCUACACUGAAGGAAUCAGCGUGGCUUUCUCCCUGACCCGAAAGGGUUGGGAAACCCGUUGAAUCUCCUUCGUGAUAGGGAUUGGGGCUUGAAAUUGUUCCCCAUGAACGAGGAAUUCCCAGUAAGCGCGAGUCAUAAGCUCGCGUUGAUUACGUCCCUGCCCUUUGUACACACCGCCCGUCGCUACUACCGAUUGAACGGUUUAGUGAGGGCCUCGGAUUGGUCUCGGCCCGCUCUUUACUGGGCGGCGCCGUUGGUCGAGAAGACGCUCGAACUUGAUCGUUUAGAGGAAGUAAAAGUCGUAACA
RNAcentral lists this ribosomal RNA (334 nucleotides) under uncultured eukaryote. RNAcentral describes it as "partial 18S ribosomal RNA". It matches the Rfam family "Eukaryotic small subunit ribosomal RNA", at positions 1470 to 1796 of the family's 1831-position model. The record is from RNAcentral.